This is a long non-coding RNA of Eriocheir sinensis (Chinese mitten crab), 827 nucleotides long. RefSeq lists it as uncharacterized. Lineage: Eukaryota; Metazoa; Arthropoda; Malacostraca; Decapoda; Varunidae. The record is from RefSeq and is a predicted model, not a curated record. The transcript has 3 exons.
AGAUGGAAAUGCACCAGGAAGAAAUAGUGCUUAAGGAACAACAGCUCAGCCAUAUCAGCAAAGAAGUGCUUGUAUAUCAGCAGCGAAAUAGAGACUAUAUCUCUGGGCUGAAGAAGAAUAUUGAUGAGGUGUCAGCCCAGAAUGCUUGGCUAAGUAUGGAGCUGAGCCACAUUGAAGCAAAGGUUACAGUUCUCAAGGACCAAGUAGAAAUAUAGACUAAUUUUCAUUUGUGCGAUUGAUUUCUGCAACUUCAACUGUGUGCUUCAACUGGAACAACAUUUUCCGGCAAUAAUUUGUGAACUUAUGUUGAAUUAUUUAAGUUAUGACACCUUUGUAUGAGAAAGUUAUUAGGAGCCAUGUACGUACUUUUAUGUUACUUUUCACCACAAAGAAAUCACUAUUGUAUCUAGUAUUAUACAUAUAUCACUGAAGGGUAGUUUUGCAGAUAAAAAUAAAAUAAGUUGCAGUAUAUUAAGUUGAUGAAUUGGGUAUUUUCAUGGUUAAGAAUAGUUUUAGACAUGACUGGACCAUAAGUUGCACGCUGUACUCCUUGAAUAUACAUAGGCUUUUAUCCAUAUAUCAGGGAAAGUUUUAGCGAGUCAUCCUCUCACACUUGUUCCUAACUAAUUUCAUCAUACGGCAACUUGCCUCGAUAGACAUUAUUUCUUCUGACACGAGAAUCGUUUAAUAUUUAGGUACAGUUAGCAGUUUUCCAUAAUUUGAGCUCUUGUCAGAAAGCUGGUACCACACUCACACUGGUUUUGCAUAAAAUUCUGUAUUAGAGGUAAAAUAAAUGAAGGGCUGAGCUACAGACUUUCAACUAGCUU